AUUCCGGUUGAUCCUGCCGGAGGCCAUUGCUAUCGGAGUCCGAUUUAGCCAUGCUAGUCGCACGAGUUUAGACUCGUGGCGAAAAGCUCAGUGACACGUGGCCAAACUACCCUAUGGACGGAACUAACCUCGGGAAACUGAGGCUAAUGUCCGAUACGGCUCUCACGCUGGUACGCCGAGAGCCGGAAACGCCCCGGCGCCAUAGGAUGUGGCUGCGGCCGAUUAGGUUGACGGUGGGGUAACGGCCCACCGUGCCAAUAAUCGGUAUGGGUCAUGAGAGUGAGAACCCAGAGACGGUAUCUGAGACAAGAUACCGGGCCCUACGGGGCGCAGCAGGCGCGAAACCUUUACACUGCACGACAGUGCGAUAAGGGGACUCCGAGUGCGAGGGCAUACAGUCCUCGCUUUUCUGUACCGUAGGGUGGUACAGGAACAAGUGCUGGGCAAGACCGGUGCCAGCCGCCGCGGUAAUACCGGCAGCACGAGUGAUGGCCGAUAUUAUUGGGCCUAAAGCGUCCGUAGCU
This 524-nucleotide ribosomal RNA is filed under the name uncultured Halorhabdus sp. Its description in RNAcentral is "bacterial SSU rRNA". It matches the Rfam family "Archaeal small subunit ribosomal RNA", at positions 1 to 526 of the family's 1478-position model. The record is from RNAcentral. Lineage: Archaea; Methanobacteriati; Methanobacteriota; Halobacteria; Halobacteriales; Haloarculaceae.